This 591-nucleotide long non-coding RNA is filed under the name Capsicum annuum. Its description in RNAcentral is "long non-coding RNA (CANN_LNC004184)". The record is from RNAcentral. Lineage: Eukaryota; Viridiplantae; Streptophyta; Magnoliopsida; Solanales; Solanaceae.
AACUGAGGUAAGCAAACCCAGAUAGCCGUGGAAUCGAUUUUAGAGUCUUUUGAAACAAAAUUCGAUUCCCAAUUUUGAAUGGACAUGAAGGUACCCGCAACGAACCAGGGCUCUCCUUGCAAGAUCUUUGCUUGGCCAGCAGGAUUUUAUAAUUUGACGGUAUAGAAAUCAAAACCCGAGUCGAUCAGACAAAGUGGUUCAGAUAACCUCCAAAGGGCUUCCAACUUCGUUUUCAAAUACUGGUGAGUGGAUUUAUGGCCGAAGGCUUUGACAAUCAGAUAGUGUUGCCAAGACGAAUACAAGCGAUUCAUAUCCUCGAGACUGAAGGUAAUCAAGGAGUCAUCUAGAUCAAUGGAUGAGGGAGUGGUCGAUGAGGCUUCAACCGAAAUUAAGGGCGAAACUAGCUUGUUGGUAGUAAUAUCGCGGUAUGAUGGUGGAUUUUUGGACGGUAGAGAGACCAUAGGGGUAUUAUCUAAUAGAGAGGUGUGGCUUCCAGCAUCAUGGAGUCCAUGACAUAGAGAAGUAGUAGGAAGAUAACUGGGAACUUUGUGGAUAAAACAAGAGGAAGAAAAUAGAAAGUGGGUAAAAGAG